GUUAGAGCUUUGGUUUUAACUUUAGUGGCGAACGGGUGAGUAACGCGUGAGGAACCUGCCUUUCAGUGGGGGACAACAGUUGGAAACGACUGCUAAUACCGCAUGACACUUUUGGGGGACAUCCCUUAAAAGUCAAAGCUUUAUGUGCUGAAAGAUGGCCUCGCGUCUGAUUAGCUAGUUGGUGAGGUAACGGCUCACCAAGGCGACGAUCAGUAGCCGGUCUGAGAGGAUGAACGGCCACAUUGGGACUGAGAUACGGCCCAGACUCCUACGGGAGGCAGCAGUGGGGAAUAUUGGGCAAUGGGGGAAACCCUGACCCAGCAACGCCGCGUGAAGGAAGAAGGCCUUCGGGUUGUAAACCUCUUUUACCAGGGACGAAGGACGUGACGGUACCUGGAGAAAAAGCAACGGCUAACUACGUGCCAGCAGCCGCGGUAAUACGUAGGUUGCAAGCGUUGUCCGGAUUUACUGGGUGUAAAGGGCGUGUAGGCGGAGAUGCAAGUUGGGAGUGAAAUCCAUGGGCUCAACCCAUGAACUGCUCUCAAAACUGUAUCCCUUGAGUAUCGGAGAGGCAAGCGGAAUUCCUAGUGUAGCGGUGAAAUGCGUAGAUAUUAGGAGGAACACCAGUGGCGAAGGCGGCUUGCUGGACGACAACUGACGCUGAGGCGCGAAAGCGUG
Molecule: ribosomal RNA, 678 nt
Filed under: uncultured bacterium
Lineage: Bacteria
Description: bacterial SSU rRNA
Rfam family: Bacterial small subunit ribosomal RNA
Source: RNAcentral